GACGAACGCUGGCGGCGUGCUUAACACAUGCAAGUCGAACGGAAAGGCCCUGCUCUUGUGGGGUGCUCGAGUGGGGAACGGGUGAGUAACACGUGAGUAACCUGCCCUUGUCUUUGGGAGAAAAUCAGGAAAAUGGGGCUAAUACCGGAUAGGAGAUCCUGAUGCAUGGGGGGGGUUGGAAAGAUUCGGCGGUGGGGGAUGGAAUCGAAGGUUAUCAGCUUGUUGGUGGGGUAGUGGCUUACCAAGGCUUUGACGGGUAGCCGGCCUGAGAGGGUGAACGGCCACAUUGCGACUGAGAUACGCACCAGACUGCUACGUGAGGCAGCAGUCGGGAGUCUUGCACAAUGGGCGGACGCCUGAUGCAGCAACGCUGCGUGCGGGAUGACCGCCUUCGGGUUGUAAACCGCUUUCUCCUGUGACGAAGCGUGCUUGACGGUAAUGAGUAAAGAAGCAACGGCUAACUACGUG
Molecule: ribosomal RNA, 468 nt
Filed under: uncultured bacterium
Lineage: Bacteria
Description: partial 16S ribosomal RNA
Rfam family: Bacterial small subunit ribosomal RNA
Source: RNAcentral